AAGUCGUAACAAGGUUUCCGUAGGUGAACCUGCGGAAGGAUCAUUACCGAGUGAGGGCCCUCUGGGUCCAACCUCCCACCCGUGUUUAUCGUACCUUGUUGCUUCGGCGGGCCCGCGCCCGCCGAAGACACCAUUGAACGCUGUCUGAAGAUUGCAGUCUGAGCAAUUAGCUAAAUAAGUUAAAACUUUCAACAACGGAUCUCUUGGUUCCG
Molecule: unclassified non-coding RNA, 212 nt
Filed under: Penicillium sp.
Lineage: Eukaryota; Fungi; Ascomycota; Eurotiomycetes; Eurotiales; Aspergillaceae
Description: partial internal transcribed spacer region
Rfam family: Eukaryotic small subunit ribosomal RNA (bases 1-46)
Source: RNAcentral